AACCUAGCUAUUAUUAGAUCUACUAACCAAUAGUUUCCUUAGAAUACCCUAAGCCUGACGUUUUUACAUUCUUGUCUUACAACCUCACAAUCUACUAUUGCUUCCUUUUGUUUCUUUUUAUUUUCAUUACUAUCUUACUUAGCUUAAUUCAAAACCUUGGUCUAUUGUGUGACCCGAGAGCUUUGUGGAAUUCGACCCUUAAGUGCUACAAUCGAUCUCUUAUUUGAGAGAGUGGUCUUAAGGCAAUUAGACCUAUAUCAAAUUUGGCGCCGUUGCCGAAGUUCUCUACGAUUCACCAUUAGAUUAGGAUUAGAAAUUUGUCUAAGAUUAUAUUUUUAUUUUUCUUUUUAUUUACUUAGUCUUUCUCUUUUCCUUUUCUUGU
This 382-nucleotide small RNA is filed under the name Arabidopsis thaliana (thale cress). RNAcentral describes it as "ATSL167790". Lineage: Eukaryota; Viridiplantae; Streptophyta; Magnoliopsida; Brassicales; Brassicaceae. The record is from RNAcentral.